GACCGUGUUGGACUCGCGAUGCAUCUAGAUUAGAGUUUGAUCAUGGCUCAGAUUGAACGCUGGCGGCAGGCCUAACACAUGCAAGUCGGACGGUAGCACAGAGGAGCUUGCUCCUUGGGUGACGAGUGGCGGACGGGUGAGUAAUGUCUGGGGAUCUGCCCGAUAGAGGGGGAUAACCACUGGAAACGGUGGCUAAUACCGCAUAACGUCGCAAGACCAAAGAGGGGGACCUUCGGGCCUCUCACUAUCGGAUGAACCCAGAUGGGAUUAGCUAGUAGGUGGGGUAAUGGCCCACCUAGGCGACGAUCCCUAGCUGGUCUGAGAGGAUGACCAGCCACACUGGAACUGAGACACGGUCCAGACUCCUACGGGAGGCAGCAGUGGGGAAUAUCGCACAAUGGGCGCAAGCCUGAUGCAGCCAUGCCGCGUGUAUGAAGAAGGCCUUCGGGUUGUAAAGUACUUUCAGCGGGGAGGAAGGCGACGGGGUUAAUAACCCUGUCGAUUGACGUUACCCGCAGAAGAAGCACCGGCUAACUCCGUGCCAGCAGCCGCGGUAAUACGGAGUUCGAAGGUGCAAGCGUUAUCGGAAUACUGGGCUUAAGCGCACGCAAGCGUCUGUUAAGUCAGAUGUGAAUCCCCGGGCUUAACUGGGAAUGCAUUUGAAACUGGCAGGCUUGAGUCUUGUAGAGGGGGGUAGAAUUCAAGUGUAGCGGUGAAAUGCGUAGAGAUCUGGAGGAAUACCGGUGGCGAAGGCGGCCCCCUGGGACAAAAGACUGACGCUCAGGUGCGAAAGCGUGGGGAGCAAAACAGGAUUAGAUACCCUGGUAGUCACGCCGUAAACGAUGUCGACUUGGAGGUUGUUCCCUUGAGGAGUGGCUUCCGGAGCUAACGCGUUAAGUCGACCGCCUGGGGAGUACGGCCGCAAGGUUAAAACUCAAAUGAAUUGACGGGGGCCCGCACAAGCGGUGGAGCAUGUGGUUUAAUUCGAUGCAACGCGAAGAACCUUACCUACUCUUGACAUCCAGCGAACUUAGCAGAGAUGCUUUGGUGCCUUCGGGAACGCUGAGACAGGUGCUGCAUGGCUGUCGUCAGCUCGUGUUGUGAAAUGUUGGGUUAAGUCCCGCAACGAGCGCAACCCUUAUCCUUUGUUGCCAGCGAUUCGGUCGGGAACUCAAAGGAGACUGCCAGUGAUAAACCGGAGGAAGGUGGGGAUGACGUCAAGUCAUCAUGGCCCUUACGAGUAGGGCUACACACGUGCUACAAUGGCGCAUACAAAGAGAAGCGACCUCGCGAGAGCAAGCGGACCUCACAAAGUGCGUCGUAGUCCGGAUCGGAGUCUGCAACUCGACUCCGUGAAGUCGGAAUCGCUAGUAAUCGUGGAUCAGAAUGCCACGGUGAAUACGUUCCCGGGCCUUGUACACACCGCCCGUCACACCAUGGGAGUGGGUUGCAAAAGAAGUAGGUAGCUUAACCUUCGGGAGGGCGCUUACCACUUUGUGAUUCAUGACUGGGGUGAAGUCGUAACAAGGUAACCGUAGGGGAACCUGCGGCUGGAUCACCUCCUUA
RNAcentral lists this ribosomal RNA (1566 nucleotides) under uncultured Pantoea sp. RNAcentral's name for it is "bacterial SSU rRNA". It matches the Rfam family "Bacterial small subunit ribosomal RNA". Lineage: Bacteria; Pseudomonadati; Pseudomonadota; Gammaproteobacteria; Enterobacterales; Erwiniaceae. The record is from RNAcentral.